RNAcentral lists this transfer RNA (85 nucleotides) under Leeia speluncae. RNAcentral describes it as "tRNA-Leu". It matches the Rfam family "tRNA". From Rfam's summary of the family: Transfer RNA (tRNA) molecules are approximately 80 nucleotides in length. Their secondary structure includes four short double-helical elements and three loops (D, anti-codon, and T loops). The record is from RNAcentral. Lineage: Bacteria; Pseudomonadati; Pseudomonadota; Betaproteobacteria; Neisseriales; Leeiaceae.
GCGACUGUGGUGAAAUAGGUAGACACAAGGGACUUAAAAUCCCUCGGCGCAAGCCGUGCCGGUUCGAUUCCGGCCAGUCGCACCA